This 21-nucleotide non-coding RNA is filed under the name Caenorhabditis elegans. The record is from RNAcentral. Lineage: Eukaryota; Metazoa; Nematoda; Chromadorea; Rhabditida; Rhabditidae.
UUGCAUGACUUGAUUUUUUGU